CUGGAAGUGGUGUGUCGGAAGAAAGCCCCCAAUUUGCGGCGUGACCUCUCAUUAAUAAAAGCUAAUAACUGGGCCGCCAGUGCUAAAAAGUGGAAACGGGAGGUUUAUCCGGCUCCUGAAGAAUACCUCUGCUGCCGAGAAGAUGGUAAACCCCGAGGCUCGCAGCAACCGAGUCGUCGGGCAAGGCAGAGAAGUAAUAACCAGUGGAGUCCGUCGGAAGCCUCGACCCCCAUAUGGGAUGUCCAGGAAAUGUUGGCCGUCCUGCCCCAGGAUUGGUAACCCACCACUGGGGAAACCAAAGUCACCAAAUAAGGACAUAGGGUGAAGAAGACGCAGCUGAGGAAGACUCCGCAGCCUUUAUCACCGAUCACCAGGAGACAGAAGGAUGACCCCCUAGCAACAACCAGCGCAGGCGCAGAGUACUCCGAGAUAACAUGGACUCCUGAAGGAUAGAGAGGAUGAAAGGACUGAAUCAGAAACUAGUUGGCGCGGCAGUAGGUGGAGCGGAGACUCCCCUGUCGCCCAGCGCUGAGCCUUUGCUUAUGUAGUAUAACUGCUUCAAUAAUUAAUAAAUUCUUUGAUUGGAAA
Agelaius phoeniceus (red-winged blackbird) is the source of this 588-nucleotide long non-coding RNA. RefSeq lists it as uncharacterized. The record is from RefSeq and is a predicted model, not a curated record. NCBI's taxonomy places the organism in Eukaryota, Metazoa, Chordata, Aves, Passeriformes, Icteridae.